Anolis carolinensis (green anole) is the source of this 4025-nucleotide long non-coding RNA. The record is from Ensembl. NCBI's taxonomy places the organism in Eukaryota, Metazoa, Chordata, Lepidosauria, Squamata, Anolidae.
AUGCCUCAACUCAUUUACAUUUGCAUGGAUAACUGCACCCAUAAUCUCAGAGUCACCCAAAGAACUUCAGCUACUCCUUUGAUGACUCGCCCAGGGAGAAAGGCCACCCUUCAUUGUGAUCUGGCUGUGGGACCGCCUGUCGUGCUGGGAAUAAGGUCCAGGACAACUUUGAAGCAUCCAGAACACACAGGUAUGUGCAUCUUUAUGGCAUCUCUUAAAUAUCCCUGGUUUUAAUGACCUUGAAUUGAUUUGAAUUGAAGGCAAUAUAGCCGUGAAAACAAGUACUUGCAGCAUACACAAUUUCUGUAUAGUUUAUCACCAAUACCCUUUGGAAUCAUGUAUCUUUGCUUUUCAUUAACUGGAUUUCAACCUAUAGUGCCUUUUGCCUAUAUUUCACUUCAAUAUAAGCACUCAAACGACUCAUUUAUUUGAAUUCCACAGUGAAGUGUAAUGUAGAUAGUUCUUCUAGAUGGGAAAAUUACUUUUAAUAAGAAUAGGGCAUAAGGACAUGCUUCAAGCCAUUCAUAACUGAGUAGCAGUAGAAGGAACCUCUGGGUUUCCAAAGCAUCAGCCCACUGCUGUCCAGUUAUAGACAGCUUCAGCAUAUCAUUGUACUAUAUUCAUUUUGAUUAAAAGUAACUUUCUAAGCUUUGCUAGAAUAACAAAUGUGUUUUACAGUUAUUGCUCUUGAAGAGCUUUCCACUUUAUUUUUUUAAGGUUUCUCCACUGGAUUUGUUUCUGCAUUGUCCUUCACAGGUCAAGAGGGAUCCAGAGAAUAUAAAUUAAGUGUCCAACUGUGAGUUUCAUGAUGUGUUGUUAUCUUGUUGCGGUCACCCCAUGUCUCAAAGAUCUUGGGGAGACUCAUACUAGUUAGCCAGAGAAAGAUUGGACUACAGCAAGUUAGUUGGCUGCCAUAAAUUUAUAUAUAGCAUGAAAAGACUUGUCAAGAUUGUCCAGAAAUGGUAUGGGAGAGAGAGUGCAAUGGGAUCAUGAACUGAUCCCACAGAGAGCCAAUGGGAGAGGAACAAAGAAUGAAUGAAUGUGCGACCUGACAUAAAAUGGUCUUGGACCACUCCAGAUUGGUGGAAGCCCCUAUCUUAUGCUAAAUAUGGAUCUGGGCCUGUCUAGAUGGAGAACAUCUAAGUGAGAGAAGGUAACCCGUUGAGUUCAUGAGAUAAUGAAUUGACAAGGAGGGAUAUGUUUAUACAUCCACUCUUUUAAAAUUAUGUCAUGGAUCCAGCCAAUGGAGGGUGAAUAACAUCAAACAUUGUCAUGUAAUUAUUUAAGAACUGCAAAUGACAUGUGUGAAGACGUGUAACCUUCAAAUGUCUUUCCACAUGUCAUAUGUUGGAUGACAUUUCCCACAAGUCCUUGCGGCUGACCACACUGGCUAGGGCAGAAGGGAUUUACACUCCAAUGAAAUUUGGAGGGUGAUAUAGUCCCCAUUUCUGGUAUAUGAUGCUCUUCAGUAUUUCUAGGAUAAGGUACAAAAACAGAGAAUGAAAAUAAUAUUCAGAAAAGGGUGGUGGGACAAUGUCUUACCAGCAUCUGAUAAUUUUUCUUUAUUCCUUUUAUCCACUCAGUGAUCUCAAUAGAAAUAGACACACCAGCGCAAAUAGCAAAUUUAACUUAAUUGUGCUUUGGAUAACGCAUUGCCCCACAACAAAAGCACUGCUUUGAAAAAAGAAUGUACAGAGUAUGCUCAAAGCAAAAGGAAUUGUAAUCAAUUUAUUGUGUAAGUAAUAAAAAGCCCUUAGUCUAUGCAGCAUCUUGUUCAAGAAGCUUGAAGAAAGCCAGCACUUUCUGCAGUGUUUUUUUAAAAAAAAAAAUCUGUUCUUCUUUGUGGAUUUGUUUCUAGUAAAGAGCUUUGCUGACCUAGAUAAAAUAUAGAUCAACUCAGUGAGCUAGCCGGCCCUUCUGUAUAGAAGAACCAGAGUUAAAAUAUCCAAAAUUAGAUUUCCAUAUGUAAAAAUCAAAAUUCUACCUGGAAAAAAUGUGUGUGUAAUCUUGGUAUCUCCACUUCAUUUUUGCAUGAUACCCAUCAUUAUCCACAAUAUGAACAGCUUGUGUGGCUUCAUAUUUUAGCUGUGAGAGGAUUUUAUAUUAAAUGGAUGAAAGCCUGUAGAAAUGUGAACCCUAGAAUAGCUUCCUGGAUAGCACAAACAUUUAUUGCUAAAGGCCAGAUAGGAUCUUGGAAUCCUUUCCUCUCUCCACAUUUAAGAAUUAAUUUUGCUUGAAACAACACACAUUGGUUCAUACAAAAGCAGAUUUCUUGGAAAGCUCAGCAGAAUGAACAACAAUGAGCUGUCAGAAUUUAAAAUCCAACUAAAGACCUAUCCCUUCCAGCAGGCAUACCCAGCCAGUUUUAAAAAUGAAUUUUAAACUCAUGUCCUGUGUUUUAAUCUCUGUCCUGUGUUUUUAAUAUGUAUUUGAUAGAAAUACAGUUUAAUACAUAUCUUUUCUAGAAUUACAUUUUAAUAUGUAUGCUCCUAGAAUUUUUGCAAUGUUUGUGAGUCUUGACUGUACCAUGAGGAGAGGCUGGUAACAAAUAAUAAUAAUAAUAUAGAAAUUUUCACAAUUUGCUCAAAUAUUAGGGAGCUAUAGUUGGAUCAAGUCAUCACCCCAACGAUAUGAUUCCUGACUAAUAAAAUACUGAUAUAUUUGGAGAAAUUGUUCAAUAACAUAAAGACAACAAACACUUUCGAAUUUUGAUUGGAGAUUGCAAUUUUCCAAAAUUCAGCCAAAUGGCUGUGUAAAAACUUUUCUCUGUGUUUUGAUUACCAGAAAAGAGCUAAACACAUUUGUGUUGAAUUUUUGCAUCAGCAGUUCCCGAUAGAUAAUAUCAACAGGUUUGAGAGAGAAAAAACAAUAACAGAAUAUUCUUUCUUAUAAAGCUGCAAAUAAAGCAAAGCCAAAUAUAAUACAGAAAUCUGAUAAGAUGACAGCCACUCCCACUGACAUAACACACCAUUGAACUAAUGAGACAGAAGGGAUGGUUUUGUUCCAAGAACUCAGAAAGCAAUUCUCUUUGCUAAAGAAAGAAUUCCAAGAAAAGCUGAAAACAGACUGGAAAGUAACCUUGAAACCUAUUGAUGAGAAGACUGAAAAGCUAAAUAACACCUUUUGGGAGGUGGGAAAAACUGCAAAUGAAGCUUUAGAAGAAGGAUGGGUGACCUAGAAAAACCCCACACCUUGAAUAAAACUGUGCAAGUGCUUGCUAUAAAGGCAGAAAACAGAGAAAAACAGAAGAACAUACAUUUAUGUGUGAUUUAUUAUAUUGUGAAUUCUGACUGUUAACUGUCUUAUGGUUUAUUUGUUUUGUGAUGGCUGAAUAUCUGUAUAUAAACAAAAUGUCUUGUUUGCUAUACUAAGCAACUAAAUAAAAGUGAUAUACAGCAACAGAAGAAAUAGAAAGCUCAAGAAUAUAAAAAGAAAUCUCUAAACCUGUUGGAAUAUUGAUGUGUUAUAUAUAUCUCCUCCUGUCAAUGUAGCUGGUUGUUCUCCCUUUCCAUUACUCAGUGUUUCCAGUUUUCUUCUGUAGAAGGUGCAGGAGUAAAUGCAGAGCUAGAUAAUGAUAUUAUGAAGAGGGAUGAUAGAUUACCCUACAUAACUAUUGCCAGGAGAGCACAACAUAAUUACUUUUUCCAAAAUCUACAAAACAGUGAUAUCUUUAUUGCACCAACCAAAAAAGACAAAACACAUCAUGCAAACUUUCAAAGCUACAUUGGCAUCUUCAUCAAAUGAAGAUUGUACCCGAGAAGAAAAGUGACAAUGUUAGAUUCACAGGCCUACAGUUUGCUGUAGCUCUCAAAAUGUAGUCAUUUUAACAUUGUCACUUUUCUUCUCCUGUCCUUUGGGAGGCACUUUGGACAUGCGGAGAAGCAGCAUAUGAAAUAUAAUUAUAUUGUGCUGUCAUUUUUUCAUAGUAAAAUGAAAUUUCAGUAAAAAAAAAUUGUAAUAACACUUUAAUUCCCUUGAAUUCUCCACCACAUGCAAAUCUUUGGGGAAGGGGAAUGCCAUCUUUC